This 380-nucleotide long non-coding RNA is filed under the name Amborella trichopoda. RNAcentral describes it as "long non-coding RNA (ATRI_LNC002483)". The record is from RNAcentral. Lineage: Eukaryota; Viridiplantae; Streptophyta; Magnoliopsida; Amborellales; Amborellaceae.
GCCCUAAUGUCCGCUUAGAGCAAUGCAGAGCUCAACUUGAAGAUCUAUUCUAGAUUUACGACCCAGUAUCUUUACGGGUUUUUUAACUUGGAUGUCUCGGGCUACAAAUUGUGGUCGAAAGCCUGCUGAUCAAAGAAGUGAUGGAUUUAUUUAGCGUGUUCAAAUUUUUUUUUCUCCAUUAUUGAGUUCUAGAAACAUUUUAGGCAGAGAACCUCGGCGAUCAUCUAGAAAGAUAAAUUUUCUAGAAGAUUGUGGGCUCCAUAGAUUAGAAAGUGGAGUCCUUAAAAUUUUAGUGAGUUUCUUCUUCUUCUUCUUCUUCUUCUUCUUCUUUUUUGGUGCCAGUUUAGUUUCCUAAGUUUGUUUAAGAGAACAAUUCUUUG